CAGAAUCUGAGAGGAAGGAAGCUGGCGCCAAAUUCCCAACCUGAGGUACAGGAACCGCAUCUGAGGCUGUUACAUCCAGGAGAAACUGCCAUACAAGUUAAAGCCCAAUACUGUCAAGGGAUGUAGCGGUAGAUCUGCUGGUAAGCUCUUACA
Molecule: non-coding RNA, 153 nt
Organism: Clostridiales bacterium PH28_bin88
Lineage: Bacteria; Bacillati; Bacillota; Clostridia; Eubacteriales
Source: Rfam